CUGGCGGCACGCCUUAUACAUGCAAGUCGAACGAAGUAGCAAUACUUAGUGGCAGACGGGUGAGUAACAUGUGGGUAUCUUCCCUUUGGUGAGGAAUAACACGAGGAAACUUGUGCUAAUACCUCAUAAGUCUUUACAGAGAAAGCUUUAUGCGCCAAUGGAUGAGCCCGCACUUGAUUAGUUAGUUGGUGGGGUAAUAGCCUACCAAGACUUUGAUCAAUAGCUGAUCUGAGAGGAUGAUCAGCCACAUUGGGACUGAGACACGGCCCAAACUCCUACGGGAGGCAGCAGUAGGGAAUAUUGCACAAUGGAGGAAACUCUGAUGCAGCGAUGCCGCGUGAGUGAAGAAGGCCUUUGGGUUGUAAAGCUCUUUCGUCGGGGAAGAAAAUGACGGUACCCGAAUAAGAAGGUCCGGCUAAC
RNAcentral lists this ribosomal RNA (420 nucleotides) under uncultured bacterium. Its description in RNAcentral is "bacterial SSU rRNA". It matches the Rfam family "Bacterial small subunit ribosomal RNA", at positions 36 to 501 of the family's 1533-position model. The record is from RNAcentral.